UACGGAGGGGGCUAGCGUUGUUCGGAAUUACUGGGCGUAAAGCGCGCGUAGGCGGAUCUGCAAGUCGGGGGUGAAAUCCCGAGGCUCAACCUCGGAACUGCCUUCGAUACUGCGGGUCUCGAGUCCGGGAGAGGUGAGUGGAAUUCCUAGUGUAGAGGUGAAAUUCGUAGAUAUUAGGAAGAACACCAGUGGCGAAGGCGGCUCACUGGCCCGGUACUGACGCUGAGGCGCGAAAGCGUGGGGAGCAAACAGG
This 253-nucleotide ribosomal RNA is filed under the name uncultured bacterium. RNAcentral's name for it is "partial 16S ribosomal RNA". It matches the Rfam family "Bacterial small subunit ribosomal RNA", at positions 524 to 776 of the family's 1533-position model. The record is from RNAcentral.